Small nucleolar RNA from Phyllostomus discolor (pale spear-nosed bat), 126 nucleotides. RefSeq annotates it as small nucleolar RNA SNORA28. The record is from RefSeq and is a predicted model, not a curated record. NCBI's taxonomy places the organism in Eukaryota, Metazoa, Chordata, Mammalia, Chiroptera, Phyllostomidae. The transcript has a single exon.
AAGCAACACUCUGUGGCAGAUGACCAAAACUAUCUGACAAGAUCUGAGCUGGCUAUAGCAAUAAAGUUGAAUCUUUUCUAAUGCUCUCUCCUCUGUGAGACAAGCUGUUACAUAGACUUAGAUGGU